This 492-nucleotide ribosomal RNA is filed under the name Occidozyga cf. laevis JF-2021. RNAcentral's name for it is "partial 12S small subunit ribosomal RNA". It matches the Rfam family "Bacterial small subunit ribosomal RNA", at positions 792 to 1523 of the family's 1533-position model. The record is from RNAcentral. Lineage: Eukaryota; Metazoa; Chordata; Amphibia; Anura; Dicroglossidae.
AUGCCCAGCCGUAAAACCAAUUUACAUCACACACGCCAGGGAAUUACGAGCUUAGCUUAAAACCCAAAGGACUUGACGGUGUCCUACCCCACUAGAGGAGCCUGUCCUAGAAUCGAUAAUCCCCGUUUAACCUUACCACUUCUCGCUUUAUUCAGUUAGUAUACUUCCGUCGCAAGCUUACCAUAUGAAUGUUUAUAGUAGGCCCAAUGAUAACCCAUCAACACGUCAGGUCAAGGUGCAGCAUAAGAAGUGGGCUGAGAUUGGCUACAAUUUCUAACUUAGAACACACGGAAUAUUGUAUGAAACACAAUACUGAAGGUGGAUUUAGUAGUAAAAAGAAAAUAAAGUGUUCUUUUUAAUAAGGGCACUGGGACGCGUACAAACCGCCCGUCACCCUCCUCGAUAAACUAUAUUCUGUAAAUAACACAAGUCUUAUUAUUAGAGGAGGCAAGUCGUAACAAGGUAAGUGUACCGGAAGGUGCACUUGGAUAG